RNAcentral lists this small RNA (125 nucleotides) under Salmonella enterica subsp. enterica serovar Ealing. RNAcentral's name for it is "partial RtT sRNA". It matches the Rfam family "RtT RNA". Rfam says of the family: This family represents a bacterial cis-regulatory element known as RtT RNA. The exact function of RtT is unknown although it is thought that it may be involved in changing the cellular response in relation to amino acid starvation. Lineage: Bacteria; Pseudomonadati; Pseudomonadota; Gammaproteobacteria; Enterobacterales; Enterobacteriaceae. The record is from RNAcentral.
AGUCUGACGAGGAUGAGAACCUCCGGGGGCAAGAGGUUCGACCCGAGCGAAGCGAGAAAACGUUGCGUCAGCAACGGCCCGCAGGGCGAGCCACGCAGUGGCGAGUCAUCCUCUAUCACCGACCA